AUUGAACGCUGGCGGCAUGCUUUACACAUGCAAGUCGAACGGCAGCACGAAAGAGCUUGCUCUUUUGGUGGCGAGUGGCGAACGGGUGAGUAAUGCAUCGGAACGUACCGAGUAAUGGGGGAUAACUAUCCGAAAGGAUAGCUAAUACCGCAUACGCUUUGAGAAGGAAAGUGGGGGCUCUUCGGACCUCACGUUAUUCGAGCGGCCGAUGUCUGAUUAGCUAGUUGGUGGGGUAAAGGCCUACCAAGGCGACGAUCAGUAGCGGGUCUGAGAGGAUGAUCCGCCACACUGGGACUGAGACACGGCCCAGACUCCUACGGGAGGCAGCAGUGGGGAAUUUUGGACAAUGGGCGCAAGCCUGAUCCAGCCAUGCCGCGUGUCUGAAGAAGGCCUUCGGGUUGUAAAGGACUUUUGUUAGGGAAGAAAAGGAUAGUGUUAAUACCAUUAUCUGCUGACG
This 457-nucleotide ribosomal RNA is filed under the name Kingella oralis. Its description in RNAcentral is "bacterial SSU rRNA". It matches the Rfam family "Bacterial small subunit ribosomal RNA", at positions 30 to 474 of the family's 1533-position model. Lineage: Bacteria; Pseudomonadati; Pseudomonadota; Betaproteobacteria; Neisseriales; Neisseriaceae. The record is from RNAcentral.